RNAcentral lists this ribosomal RNA (253 nucleotides) under uncultured bacterium. RNAcentral's name for it is "partial 16S ribosomal RNA". It matches the Rfam family "Bacterial small subunit ribosomal RNA", at positions 524 to 776 of the family's 1533-position model. The record is from RNAcentral.
UACGAACCGUGCGAACGUUGUUCGGAAUCACUGGGCUUAAAGGGCGCGUAGGCGGCCCGCCGCGUCCGGGGUGAAAUCCUCCCGCUCAACGGGAGAACGGCCUCGGAUACGGGCGGGCUGGAGGGGGGUAGGGGCAGGCGGAACUGUGGGUGGAGCGGUGAAAUGCGUUGAGAUCCACAGGAACUCCGGUGGCGAAGGCGGCCUGCUGGACCCCAUCUGACGCUGAGGCGCGAAAGCCAGGGGAGCGAACGGG